GUCUAGGGUAACCUAGUGGGCAUGGUAUCUGCCCAAUUAGCGUAACACUGUGGGUUCGAUUCCCAUCCCUGGACA
RNAcentral lists this transfer RNA (75 nucleotides) under Cordylochernes scorpioides. RNAcentral's name for it is "tRNA-Ile". It matches the Rfam family "tRNA". From Rfam's summary of the family: Transfer RNA (tRNA) molecules are approximately 80 nucleotides in length. Their secondary structure includes four short double-helical elements and three loops (D, anti-codon, and T loops). The record is from RNAcentral. Lineage: Eukaryota; Metazoa; Arthropoda; Arachnida; Pseudoscorpiones; Chernetidae.